This 446-nucleotide ribosomal RNA is filed under the name uncultured bacterium. RNAcentral's name for it is "bacterial SSU rRNA". It matches the Rfam family "Bacterial small subunit ribosomal RNA", at positions 354 to 796 of the family's 1533-position model. The record is from RNAcentral.
GUAGGGAAUAUUGCGCAAUGGGCGAAAGCCUGACGCAGCGACGCCGCGUGAGUGAAGAAGGCCCUAUGGGUUGUAAAGCUCUGUAAUGAGGGAAGAAAAUGCCAUGUAAAGCAUGGUACUGACGGUACCUCAGAAGUAAGCACCGGCUAAACACGUGCCAGCAGCCGCGGUAAUACGUGUGGUGCAAGCGUUGUCCGGAAUGACUGGGCGUAAAGGGUGCGUAGGCGGACUUGUAUGUCAGGUGUGAAAUCCCUGGGCUUAACCUGGGAACUGCGCUUGAAACGGCAAGUCUAGAGUAUGUCAGAGGUAAGUGGAAUUCCCGGAGUAGCGGUAAAAUGCGUAGAGAUCGGGAAGAACACCGGUGGCGAAGGCGGCUUACUGGGGCAUAACUGACGCUGAGGCACGAAAGCGUGGGGAGCGAACGGGAUUAGAAACCCCUGUAGUCC